Molecule: long non-coding RNA, 1320 nt
Filed under: Marmota monax (woodchuck)
Lineage: Eukaryota; Metazoa; Chordata; Mammalia; Rodentia; Sciuridae
Source: RNAcentral
GUUUAGAUGCCAAGUGAAGUAACAUGAGCUUGCGGAGCCAGAAGACAGAAGCACAGAAUGUGGGAGACCAGGAUCCUGGGAAGCAGACUAAAACAGGCAGACCAGCCUGUGAACAGUGGCCCAGGGGCUGCACAUCCCAAGGGACCACAGAUAGUCAGUCUUCAAGCAUGAAGGGUUUCAGCUCAGAUUCUUCAUGUGUGUCCUGACUGUGGCCAAACCCAAGGAGGUGACAAGGGAUGGAGAUAGUAUGUAGGGUUCACAGGGAGGUUCACCAGAAGGAAGAAUUAGGCAACACCAAAGGAUUCAGGGCUUCUCCACCAGUACAGUUAGCCUCAGGAAAACAGCUGGGCUGCAAGCACCUCCACACCUGCUCUGCAAGGCGUCCAUGGCCUUCUCCAGGGCCCUCUGAGAGCAGCUCUCCCUACAUACUUUGCUCAGCCUCUGUCUUCGUUCCUGUAAGUGGACUAUAGCUCUCAAUUUCCAUCUCCUGUCCUCUUGCAAGUCAACCUCCAGGGAAGCCCAGCAUCGGUGUCUUUCACAUUGCUGUUCCUCCCCAUAAAUCAGGUCUGACACUUUCUCAUUUUUUUAAUAUUUAAAUAUUUUUUAAGCUGUGAUUGGACACAACACCUUUUUUUUAUUGAUUGAUUUUUAUGUGGUGCUGAGGAUGGAACCCAGCGCCUCGCACAUGCUAGGCGAGCGCUCUACUGCUGAGCCACCACCCCAGCCCCUACUUUCUCAUUUUUUAUUAGAGCUGUUACCAUUCUUCUAAUGAUUCUUGUUAUUUUUAGAAAUUUCUUUGAGUGAGCACUGCAGUUUGCAUUUUAUUUGGAAGCCCCAACUAAGGUUUUUCUCUCCUACACUUGGCAUUGUAGACUUCUGUCUCUAGAACAAGAGGUGCUUUUUGCUAAAGGAGUUGGGGAAUUAUCAACUAGGUGGGGAGGCAUUUGAGGCCAGGGAGGGAGAGACGUUACACAUUUUAAGCCCAGAGAUGUACAUGCCUGGCACAGCCAGUCCUGAGCAGCAUCUGUAUCAGUCCAGUGGGGUCUGGUCCAACUGACUCCAGAUAUAGUCUCCAGAUUUGCCCACUCUGGUCUGGACUGAGCAUGGGGAAGAAUAUGUGCAACCAAAGCUGUGAGCCAGAGCUUUGGGAAAGCUAGGAGAUGGGUAAGGGGAGGAAUGACUAUAUAUCACUCACUAUUUCAUUUUUUUGCAAAAGUACGAUACAACUGAAAAUAAAAUAUCUCUCUUAUUGCUUUCAGAGGUAGACUAGUCUCAUUCUCCUGCCUGCAGAGAUUGUCCUUCUAGGUGCAUAAUACAGAU